GUUUUAUAUAAUUGUUACAGGAGAAAGAGUAAAACAAAUGAGUUGAGUUUCUACUUAUUUUACUAACCUUGCUUUUAACAUAUAAUUGGUCACCUAACUUUUGAUCUUUUUACCCCACAUGAUUUAUGCUUAAAUUGAUUAACUUUUUUUUCAACUUUAACAAAUGCUUUUCUUAUUGAUAACUUGCUUUACUUUCAUUACUUUCCUUUGUAAGUCUCUUUCCCUUAAGCCACUUCCUUUAUGGAGUAGUUCUGAGGUGAGAUUGUUAUCAAUAUGGUUUUGGAAUGAUUUCUUGAUUUUGAACCCUUUCAAGAAAGGAUUUUUAGAAUCUUUAAUGUCCUCAAAUGUGAUGACACUGAGGAGGAAGAGUUUCAGUUAUAGAGUAGAGAAUGUUGAGGCAAAUUCUGAAAUGUCUGUGUUGGAUUUGCCUGAAUUGGUUUUGGAAUGUAUUCUUGAGAGGCUCCCACCUGAGGGACUUUGUAGUAUGGCAAGUGUUUGUAGUUCUUUGAGGGAGAAAUGCACAAGUAAAUAUCUUUGGGAAAAGCAUAUGAAAGAAAAAUGGGGUAGAGUUCUUGGUCCUGCUGCUCAUAGAGAGUGGUUGUGGCAUAUUUCUUCAAGAAAGGAUUCAAGUUUCUUUAAUCAGGCUAAAGAAAGAGGUUUAAUGACUUACCUCUCCCAGUUUUGGCCUAUUUCAAUCGUUAGAUCUAAUCCUAGCACUAGUUUCAAGAAAAAGGAUCCCCCAGUUAUUGAUUCAAUCAUGUCUAUGUAUCUUGCUCUUGAAUCUGGCAAGUUUUGGUUCCCUGCUCAAGUCUACAAUCGCGAGAAUGGGCAUGUUGGUUUUAUGCUAUCUUGCUAUGAUGCUGAGCUAAGCUAUAGUCGAAGAACCGACACUUUCCAGGCCAGAUAUCCUCCACAUGGAAGGAGGGCAAUGGCAAUAGAGACAGGUGUAACAUGGGAUAGAUUAAGAGUACCUCCUCUUGAUACCUCUCCACAUGAUCUUUAUAUCUCUGAUUGCUUGACUGAAUUAUGCCCUGGUGAUCACAUUGAGAUUCAAUGGAGAAGAAACAAAGAGUUCCCU
Molecule: unclassified non-coding RNA, 1078 nt
Filed under: Hevea brasiliensis (rubber tree)
Lineage: Eukaryota; Viridiplantae; Streptophyta; Magnoliopsida; Malpighiales; Euphorbiaceae
Source: RNAcentral